UACAGAGGUCCCAAGCGUUAGGCGGAAUCACUGGGCUUAAAGGGUGCGUAGGCGGGUCUUUAAGUCAGGGGUGAAAUCCUGGAGCUCAACUCCAGAACUGCCUUUGAUACUGGGGAUCUUGAGUUCGGGAGAGGUGAGUGGAACUGCGAGUGUAGAGGUGAAAUUCGUAGAUAUUCGCAAGAACACCAGUGGCGAAGGCGGCUCACUGGCCCGAUACUGACGCUGAGGCACGAAAGCGUGGGGAGCAAACAGG
This 253-nucleotide ribosomal RNA is filed under the name uncultured bacterium. Its description in RNAcentral is "partial 16S ribosomal RNA". It matches the Rfam family "Bacterial small subunit ribosomal RNA", at positions 524 to 776 of the family's 1533-position model. The record is from RNAcentral.